RNAcentral lists this ribosomal RNA (253 nucleotides) under uncultured bacterium. RNAcentral's name for it is "partial 16S ribosomal RNA". It matches the Rfam family "Bacterial small subunit ribosomal RNA", at positions 524 to 776 of the family's 1533-position model. The record is from RNAcentral.
UACGGAGGAUGCAAGCGUUAUCCGGAUUUAUUGGGUUUAAAGGGUGCGUAGGCGGGACUGUAAGUCAGGGGUGAAAUACUGCAGCUUAACUGUAGCAUUGCCUUUGAAACUGUGGUUCUUGAGUACAGUUGAGGUAGGCGGAAUGUGGUGUGUAGCGGUGAAAUGCAUAGAUAUACCACAGAACGCCGAUUGCGAAGGCAGCUUACUAAGCUGUUACUGACGCUGAGGCACGAAAGCGUGGGGAUCAAACAGG